Molecule: ribosomal RNA, 460 nt
Filed under: uncultured bacterium
Lineage: Bacteria
Description: partial 16S ribosomal RNA
Rfam family: Bacterial small subunit ribosomal RNA
Source: RNAcentral
CCUACGAGGGUCAGCAGUGAGGAAUAUUGGUCAAUGGGCGGGAGCCUGAACCAGCCAAGUCGCGUGCGGGAAGCCGGUCCUACGGAUUGUAAACCUCUUUUGCCGGGGAGCAACGGGGUCCUUGCGAGGGCCCACUGCGCGUACCCGGAGAAAAAGCAUCGGCAAACUCCGUGCCAGCAGCCGCGGUAAUACGGAGGAUGCGAGCGUUAUCCGGAGUUAUUGGGUUUAAAGGGUGCGUCGGUGGGCUGUUAAGUCAGCGGUCAAAUGUCGGGGCUCAACCCCGGCCUGCCGUUGAAACUGGCGGCCUCGAGUGGGCGAGAAGUAUGCGGAAUGCGUGGUGGAGCGGUGAAAUGCAUAGAUAUCACGCAGAACUCCGAUUGCGAAGGCAGCAUACCGGCGCCCUACUGACGCUGAGGCACGAAAGCGUGGGUAUCGAACAGGAUUAGAUACCCCUGUAGUC